UACAGAGGGUGCGAGCGUUGUUCGGAAUUAUUGGGCGUAAAGGGCGCGUAGGCGGUGCGGUAAGUCACCUGUGAAAUCUCCUGGCUCAACUGGGAGCUUGCAGGCGAAACUGCCGUGCUGGAGUGUGGGAGAGGUGCGUGGAAUUCCUGGUGUAGCGGUGAAAUGCGUAGAUAUUGGGAAGAACACCGGUGGCGAAGGCGGCUCACUGGCCCGUAACUGACGCCCAUGCACGACAGCGUGGGGAUCAAACAGG
RNAcentral lists this ribosomal RNA (253 nucleotides) under uncultured bacterium. Its description in RNAcentral is "partial 16S ribosomal RNA". It matches the Rfam family "Bacterial small subunit ribosomal RNA", at positions 524 to 776 of the family's 1533-position model. The record is from RNAcentral.